This 253-nucleotide ribosomal RNA is filed under the name uncultured bacterium. RNAcentral's name for it is "partial 16S ribosomal RNA". It matches the Rfam family "Bacterial small subunit ribosomal RNA", at positions 524 to 776 of the family's 1533-position model. The record is from RNAcentral.
AACGUAGGAGACAAACGUUAUCCGGAGUUACUGGGCGUAAAGGGCGUGUAGGUGGUAAUGUAAGUCUGGCGUGAAAUUUUUCGGCUUAACCGGGAAAGGUCGUCGGAGACUGCAUAACUAGAGGACGGUAGAGGCGUGUGGAAUUCCGGGUGUAGUGGUGAAAUGCGUAGAGAUCCGGAGGAACACCAGUGGCGAAGGCGACACGCUGGGCCGUGGCUGACACUGAGGCGCGACAGCGUGGGGAGCAAACAGG